GUGUACUUAGCUCAAUGGAAAGAGAAUCAAUCAUGAAUACUGAGUCUGUGGGUUCAAUUCCCACAGUACAAA
Molecule: transfer RNA, 72 nt
Organism: Puccinia sorghi
Lineage: Eukaryota; Fungi; Basidiomycota; Pucciniomycetes; Pucciniales; Pucciniaceae
Rfam family: tRNA
About the family: Transfer RNA (tRNA) molecules are approximately 80 nucleotides in length. Their secondary structure includes four short double-helical elements and three loops (D, anti-codon, and T loops).
Source: Rfam